GAGAGAAGGAGCCUCCCUCGGCCGUAGGGAUGGGGGCUGCCCUGUAAUUCAGGGAGCGAGCGUGCCCCGUAGUCCCGGGCCCUUUGCAAUGGAGGCAGUGGCUGGGGGUCCCCUGUAAGCAGGGAAGCAGACUCCUUCGGCUGCUGCUUUUUGUGUGCCCAGCUCCAUUUGCCCAGUCUGCCCGCCUCUGUGAUCCCCCGCAGCACCGACUGGAAGACCACCGUGAGUCAGAGAGGAGCUGCUGCAGAAGAAAGAAGAGGCACAGGGACCUGGAGGCAGGAGAGAGCAAGAAGUUAUUGCUGUUAACUGUCAAUUUGUUUGUAGUAAACUCAGUUGUCAUGUGUGUUUUGCUUGUUAGCUCCUUAUUGUUGCCAUGGUCCUUUGAGAAUAAAAUUUGUUUGCUUGGUUUUUAUAAUGA
This is a non-coding RNA of Coturnix japonica (Japanese quail), 418 nucleotides long. The record is from RefSeq and is a predicted model, not a curated record. NCBI's taxonomy places the organism in Eukaryota, Metazoa, Chordata, Aves, Galliformes, Phasianidae.